This 404-nucleotide ribosomal RNA is filed under the name uncultured bacterium. RNAcentral describes it as "partial 16S ribosomal RNA". It matches the Rfam family "Bacterial small subunit ribosomal RNA", at positions 355 to 751 of the family's 1533-position model. The record is from RNAcentral.
UGGGGAAUAUUGCACAAUGGGCGCAAGCCUGAUGCAGCCAUGCCGCGUGUGUGAAGAAGGCCUUCGGGUUGUAAAGCACUUUCAGCGAGGAGGAAGGUGGGUGGACUUAAUACGUUCAUCAAUUGACGUUACUCGCAGAAGAAGCACCGGCUAACUCCGUGCCAGCAGCCGCGGUAAUACGGAGGGUGCAAGCGUUAAUCGGAAUUACUGGGCGUAAAGCGCACGCAGGCGGUUUGUUAAGUCAGAUGUGAAAUCCCCGGGCUCAACCUGGGAACUGCAUUUGAAACUGGCAAGCUAGAGUCUCGUAGAGGGGGGUAGAAUUCCAGGUGUAGCGGUGAAAUGCGUAGAGAUCUGGAGGAAUACGGUGGCGAAGGCGGCCCCCUGGACGAAGACUGACGCUCAGG